GGCCUGAAUAAUGACAUGUAAUUGCAAAAUCUCUGUUCAACUGUGAAAAUGUAGAUGGGGUAACUCUCUGAUGGACCCAUACAAAGAGUGAGGGUGACUCCUGCUAAGCGGGGUCUCAAUGGACAGACUAUGAAGUUUUCUUCAUUUCUAUUAUGGUGAAGAAAAGAGAAAGACCCUUUUUUUCAGCCUGUAGGUGCAUCAGCACAGUGUUUGAUUUUUUAGUUGCCCCUGGUCCACCUGUACUUUGUGCAUGAAUUUAAGUUAAUUCCUGGACUUUCAGCCAGCUCAUCCUCCCCAGCGUGCAGCCCUAAAGGUGUCUCCAAGAGUUCCUUCUCAAGUCUUCUCUUGACUCCACAAAACCUGGCCCUCUCCACCCUAUUCAUUUCUUUCUUUCCAGCCAACCUUCAUGCUUUCAUACCCCUACGCUCCAUCUCAAACUGGGAUGGGGUUACUUAAAGCCCUUGUGUUUCUUGCCAAAGAAAGAGGAACUGAUAUCGCUGACCUGAGAUCUGUCACUGACUAUGGACAGCACUCGAUGGGUCAUUUUGUAGUCUAAGGUGUAGCUUCUGUGGCUGGGAACCAUGCUGCUAAUUGCUUUUAUUUAUUGAUUUAUUUUUAAGUGCCCUGACUGAGAUCUAGUGAGAAGCACUGUGUACAAAUGAUGUGAAAUCUGUUCUGCUGCCUUCCUUUGCAGGGAUGACAUAGGAGCAAGGCAGUAAAGAGGCAGCAUUGAAAUCUUGUUGGUUCCUCUUCCAUCUUGACUCCUAUUGCUCAUGGUGCUGAACUGGGCUGAUUUAGCAGAACUCAGCGUGUGAAUGGAGAACUGAUCUUUCACUCUCACUUCACUUAAAAUCCAUUAUUAAUGGUCUAUGGAAUAUAUGGAGUCAUCAUUCAUGGAGGUGUUUAAGAACUUGUUAAAUUAACAAUGAAAAUGCUUCAGAACCUCAAAAGUACUUUGAUACACUCUGCCUCCUUGAACACCUGUCAGUUAACAAAAAGACCUGAGAACUUAAAUGUCCAGCAUUGCUGGUAAGUAAAGUCUGCAGUACCCAAAACUUAUUAGGAGAAGCCCUGCAGGUUCAUCCUGGGGUGUUCAGUGUCUUCUCCUGCCCCCUGCACAUCCCAUGCAGAAGGCUUUUCUUCCGUCACAGAUGAAACUGUCCCAUCCUUGUGAAUGGGGACCUGAUGUAUCAUACUCAAGUUCCUGGCUUUAAUGGCCAAUGACAAAUUUGGAACCUGGCUUGUUACCUUGUGACAUAUUAUCUAACCACCUUUGGGAGCUGCUUACCUGCAAUGAGUUUUCUCAAGCUCUGUCUGACCUGAGGAACCAAAUCUCAGGCUCAAACAUCAUGAUUUGGACAAAACACAGGAUACAGGGCUUCAAUCAAGGCUUUUAUGGUCCUUCCAUGGGAGGAGGCACCUCAGCCCCAGGAGUUCACCCCCACAUUUGGUACUGCAAUGCCCACAUCCCAUCUGAAGGUGUUUUCAGUGCUUUGAUAGACUGCAGUUGUGAAAACUGGUCGUUCCACUUUUCAAGUGUUAAUGGUUAUAAUGUGAACGGUGUUGCAGCUGGAACUAUAAUAGACUCAUAAGAAUUUUUUAGUUUCAUUUUUUAACAGAUUUGGGGGUUGAGUGGGUACUACAUUAUGCCAUUAUUACAGCUUCAGUAUUAUUGUUUUUCUUUAACUGGCAUUGUUUAUUAUGCAUGCAUUGAAGCACAAAUGUGGAACAAAUGAAUCUGAUAUCAAAUUAAUGCUGCGAUCAGGUUUCCCCCCCUUCCCUCUUUAGUUGCCAUAACAAUCUGUGAUCUUGAAGCAACGAUAAAAUUAGAAUUGCAUUAAAGGUGUUUACACCGUGUUCA
This is a non-coding RNA of Coturnix japonica (Japanese quail), 1861 nucleotides long. The record is from RefSeq and is a predicted model, not a curated record. NCBI's taxonomy places the organism in Eukaryota, Metazoa, Chordata, Aves, Galliformes, Phasianidae.